UGCGUAGGCGUAUUAAUAAGUCAGUGGUGAAAUCUUUCGGCUCAACCGAGAAACUGCCAUUGAUACUGUUAAUCUUGAGUUCGGUUGAGGUAGGCGGAAUGUGUAAUGUAGCGGUGAAAUGCUUAGAUAUUACACAGAACACCAAUUGCGUAGGCAGCUUACUAGACCGACACUGACGCUGAGGCACGAAAGCGUGGGGAGCGAACAGGAUUAGAUACCCUGGUAGUCC
RNAcentral lists this ribosomal RNA (229 nucleotides) under uncultured bacterium. RNAcentral's name for it is "partial 16S ribosomal RNA". It matches the Rfam family "Bacterial small subunit ribosomal RNA", at positions 568 to 796 of the family's 1533-position model. The record is from RNAcentral.